This 678-nucleotide long non-coding RNA is filed under the name Pan troglodytes (chimpanzee). Its description in RNAcentral is "long non-coding RNA NONPTRT015139". The record is from RNAcentral. Lineage: Eukaryota; Metazoa; Chordata; Mammalia; Primates; Hominidae.
AAAGAAUCCAUGGCCCGGCCGGGCCCGGACCCUAAAGGACCGGGCGGUUCCUCCUCCCGCGGCGAGCGCGGAGCAGUUUCCCUUCGCCGCUUCCGGGACUGCACACGUGCCUCCGAGCAACCACGACAACAGCUAGCCUCCCGCCCGCCCUCCUCUCGCAGCCGCAGCCUGCCUUCAAAGCGGAGCAAGGCCCGCGGACGGCGCAGCCAAUAGGCUUUCUGGGGUUUGCUCUCUAGCUAAUGGGAGGACUAUCUUUUUACGCCCUUGGCCAGUAAGAGAGCAGAUGGUGGCCUCAGCGACCUAUGGCAAAGUCCUUUCCCACCCCCUAACGGAGGCUCUGGGAGAGAGAGGAUGCAGGACCAGGACCCGAGGAGAAGAAGCCUGCGUCUGGACCUGGGUGGGACGGAUUCAGGCGCGCAGCAACAACAGGGUGCCUGGCACAAGGAGAUACUCAGUAAAACUCUCAUCUGCUGUGUCAUUAAGGGGAACACUUAAUGGCUCACGCCUGUAAUCCCAGCACUUUGGGAGGCCGAGGCGGGAGGAUCAUCUGAGCCCAGGAGUUGGAGACCAGCUUGGGCAACAGAGUGAGACCCUGUCUCAACAAAGAAGAAGAAGAAAAAGGCCAGGCGCCGUGGCUUAUGUCUGUAAUCCCAGCACUUUGGGAGGCCAAGAAGGGAG